UAAAACGUAGGUGGCGAGCGUUAUCCGGAUUUACUGGGCGUAAAGGGUGUGCAGGCGGACUGUUAAGUGGUGCAUGAAAUCUCCGCGCUUAACGUGGAGAGGCUGUGCCAGACUGGCAGUCUGGAGUACGUGAGAGGGUUGUGGAAUUCCGGGUGUAGUGGUGAAAUGCGUAGAGAUCCGGAGGAACACCAGAGGCGAAGGCGGCAACCUGGCACGUUACUGACGCUCAUACACGACAGCAUGGGGAGCGAACGGGAUUAGAAACCCCGGUAGUCCAUGCCGUAAACGAUGAUAGCUGGGCGUCGCGGGGUGCAAACCCUGCGGUGUCGAAGUAAACACGAUAAGCUAUCCGCCUGGGGAGUACGGUCGCAAGGCUA
RNAcentral lists this ribosomal RNA (377 nucleotides) under uncultured bacterium. RNAcentral's name for it is "bacterial SSU rRNA". It matches the Rfam family "Bacterial small subunit ribosomal RNA", at positions 521 to 896 of the family's 1533-position model. The record is from RNAcentral.